CAAGUCGAACGCGAAAGUCCCCUUCGGGGGGCAAGUAGAGUGGCGCACGGGUGAGUAACACGUAGGUAAUCUACCUUUGGAUGGGGAAUAACAACCGGAAACGGUUGCUAAUACCGCAUAAUGCAGCGGCACCUAAUGGUGACAGUUGUUAAAGCGGGGGAUCGAAAGACCUCGCGUCUGAAGAGGAGCCUGCGGCGGAUUAGCUAGUUGGUAAGGUAAUGGCUUACCAAGGCUACGAUCCGUAACCGGCCUGAGAGGGCGGUCGGUCACACUGACACUGACAUACGGGUCAGACUCCUACGGGAGGCAGCAGUCGGGAAUUUUGGGCAAUGGGCGAAAGCCUGACCCAGCAACGCCGCGUGAAGGAUGAAAUCCCUCGGGAUGUAAACUUCGCAAGAACAGGAAGAAUAAGUAGGGGACAAUACCCCCUAUGAUGACGGUACUGUUUGUAAGCUCCGGCUAACUCCGUGCCAGCAGCCGCGGUAAUACGGGGGGAGCAAGCGUUGUUCGGAUUUACUGGGCGUAAAGGGCGCGUAGGCGGUCAGCACAAGUCAGUUGUGAAAUCUCCGGGCUUAACUCGGAAAGGUCAACUGAUACUGUGCGACUAGAGUGCGGAAGGGGCAACUGGAAUUCUUGGUGUAGCGGUGAAAUGCGUAGAUAUCAAGAGGAACACCUGCGGCGAAGGCGGGUUGCUGGGCCGACACUGACGCUGAGGCGCGAAAGCCAGGGGAGCGAACGGGAUUAGAUACCCCGGUAGUCCUGGCCUUAAACGAUGAAUGCUUGGUGUCUGGGGUUAUAAAGUCCCCGGGUGC
Molecule: ribosomal RNA, 812 nt
Filed under: uncultured Bacillota bacterium
Lineage: Bacteria; Bacillati; Bacillota
Description: bacterial SSU rRNA
Rfam family: Bacterial small subunit ribosomal RNA
Source: RNAcentral